This is an unclassified non-coding RNA of Fukomys damarensis (Damara mole-rat), 301 nucleotides long. Its record names the gene 7SK. It matches the Rfam family "7SK RNA". Rfam says of the family: 7SK was discovered as an abundant small nuclear RNA in the mid-70s but a possible function has only recently been suggested. The record is from Ensembl. NCBI's taxonomy places the organism in Eukaryota, Metazoa, Chordata, Mammalia, Rodentia, Bathyergidae.
GGACAGGAGGGUGAUCAGGCUGCGACAUCUGUCACCCCACUGAUCGCCAGGGUUGAUUCGGCUUAUCUGGCUGGCUAGGCGGGCGUCCCCUUCCUCCCUCUCGGCUCCAUAUGCGUCCCUCCCAAAGCUGUGUGCUGGGUGGAAGAGGACGACCACCCCGAUAGAGGAGGACCCUUUCCUUGGUCAAGGUUGUACAAGUAGUUGCACUUCUCUGGUAGAACCUCCAGCAAGCUCUCAAAAUGGGCCGAGAGUACUGCUGUGCCCGCUUGCAUAUUUAUUCUGAGAACCAUAGUGCAGCUGA